CAGUCAAAAACAAGAGGGUUGUGAUGAUAAAACGUCAUGUGUCUCCAUAAAUAACGUAAUCAAUUAUAGACAGCAUGCCUUUUUGGAAUUUUGUUUCCAUUUACAGUGUAUUUUGUUUUGUGACAAAUCAACAAUGAGUUCAGAAUCUGGUAAAACAUCAGCACUAUCAUCACCAUCAUCACCAUCGAGAGUGAUAUCUCUGUCUAGUGGGAAAUUGGCGGAAAUCAUCCCUGUGGUUGUCAAUGAUGAUUGUGGCCAAGGCGAUCAGCCAUCACCAUCUGCGGAUAAAAAUGUCACAUCACAUAAUACUGGAAACAUGGAUUGGGAUUUCGGUGGUGGCGAACCAUCAGAAAGCAUGGUGGAUGAUUUAACCACCGAUCAAAGUACUAAAACCAAUGACGAUGUUGGUUACGCAACCUGCACAGACCCAGCUUAUGCAACGGUUACGAGUGUUGGCUCGUACAUUAGCAGAGAAUCAUCGACAGACGUCCUUUUACCAAAUCUACCUGGCGGGAUCAUCGAGUUCAUACAAGAGGGUGCUGAACGAAAUCAGACAGAUGGAUACCGGUAUUAUGUUAUAAUACCAAAGGACACACCUGUCGAUGACAUUGCCAAUUACAUGGCUUAUGGCUGGAAGCGGAGGACACCAAAAAUAGUGUUGUCUGUAAUUUCCAGUGUUAAAUACUUCAAACAGUGGGAAGAUGAGAAACACAUUGAAGAUUUCCAGGCAGGAAUUAUUAAGGCUGCUAACCUCACAGAGAUGUGGAUAGUGACAAAUGGCUUUGACAGCGGGGUUGCUAAAUACAUUGGGGACGCAGCAUGUGACGAAAUGGCUCGCCGCAAGAGUCAGGAAGAGGAAUCUCUAGAAGUGAAGAAUAUCCAAGUCUUGGAGAAAGUGCCAAAACUGACAAUCUUAGGAGUUGUAGCUUUUGAUAGCAUAUCAUAUUCAGACCAUUUGGAUGGACAACAUGUUCAGCCCAAACAAAUAGAGAACAGAGGGCAUAAACCACGAUCAUCGAAAUUUGACUUGAAUCCUUUUCAUACACACUUCAUGAUGGUUAAAGACAUAAAUUCACAGGAGCUGAAUGCAUUCCGGUACAGUCUAGAGGUGCGCUUUCUUCAGCCAGUUGGUCGUGCUCGCAGAUACAGGAGAAUGCCGUCAAGUCACACAACACUGCCUGGAACUAACAGUGAUCUUGAUCUGAACAUGGGAGAAUCUCAAAAUAACCCCAACACCAACACCCCGGUGAUUUCCCUGCUGGUUCAGGGAGGACCGCCAGAAAUUGACCAGGUGCUGUGGUUACUCAAGAAGAAGAUUCCAGUUAUUGUCAUGAAAGGGUUUGGUCUGGCAGCCGAUCUUAUUGCAUUUGCUUAUGAGGAAACACGUGAGAGUUAUAUCAAAUCUGAACUGAUGAAAAGAGUAAAAGACACAUUCCCUAAAGAAUUCAAGAAGGAUGACCUUGCCGUGAUAGAAUGCAGAGACAAGAUUUUGGAGUGUGCUUUUUAUGCACACCAGGACAGCUUAACAUAUCUAACAAUCUUGGACACAGGGAACCGAGCAUCUGAUCUCACCAACCUCAGCAAAUACAUUCUAAUGGCUUUAUUUAAGUCUCAAACCAGAAAGCUUGGUCACAAGUGGAGAGAUCAAAUUCAGCGUGACCUUCAGCUCACUUUAGACUGGAAUCGAUGUGACCUUGCCAAAUCAGAGAUCUAUCAAAAAUACAGCUUGACAAGGAUACGGGUAGAAAAUCAUAUAUUUCAUCAAGCGUUGCUGCGAGAGGACAGAGAAGAUUUUGUAGAGUUGUUCCUUGAUAAAGGAUUCCAGGUUCACCGAUAUUUGAGUCACAAGAGAUUGCAUAAUCUGUUUGAAAAUGCACGGGACAAAGAAUUCUUCAUUGGUGUUUGUUUGGAAGGGGUACUUGGAAAAGCUGUGAAUCCUCAUAGUCCUCUGAGUCGGAACUUUUGUGAAGAUGAUGGAUGUGAGUUAAAUCGCCUUCUGUCUCGAUGCACCAAAUUACAGAAACUCAUAAACCCUUACGAGUUGUCGAUGAAUUCGCUGGGCACCUACAUCACAAACAAAGCUGUUGCUGAACGGAGGGCAACAACCACCCUAGUGCUCUGGGCAGCUCUCACUAACAGGCCCAUCCUAGCCAAGGUAUUUUGGAAGAAAACUGAUGACCCUAUUGCUGUGGCAUUAAUAGUCAGCAUGCUUCUCCAUAGAUUGGCCUCGCAGUGGUGCAAAGAUGUUGACAUGAAGAGAAGGGUCAAAGCCACAGCAGUGGAGUUUGGUAAAAUGGCAGUUAGUAUGUUAGACCUGUGCUACCAGGAUUCCAGUAUCCAGGCAUUCCAUGCUCUUAACAAGAAGCUUCAGGACUUCAACAACAGAACUGUGGUUGAGAUUGCCAAGAUGGGGAACAACAAGUUUUUCAUAGCACACCCAUGCUGUCAAAAGUGGCUGGCUCAGAGGUGGUUGGGAUGUCUUCAGAUUCGAGAGCUAGACUGGGGAGGGCACAUCAAACUACCGGACUGGCUCAAGGUGUACUUGAGUGCUUUCCUUAUUUUCCCCAUGUUUGUAUGGAUUGCAUUUGUACCAAUGGAAAACGUGAAACAAAAGUUUGAAAAAGAGGAUGAUGAAGAAGAGGAGGAGGUUGAAGAGACAAACAUGCUGCUGCGGCCGCUGUCGAUACAGGAGAAACAAGGAAAGAAACGGUAUAGCAUGAAAGUGAAGUUCAAAAACCUGAUUGAUAGAGGGGAAGUAACUCUGAAGCUGCCAGUUUACAAGCAGAUAUACUACUUAUGGAGUGCCCCAAUAACCAAGUUUUGGGUGAAUCAGCUGUUCUACGUGUUCUUCCUGAUACUGUUCAGUCUGGCCGUGCUGUGGCCGUCGUGUGGGGAUCUUCAUCUGAACCUGUCCGUCUUUGUGUGGACCUUCAUCAUCUGGAUAGAACUCGCACGACGGACGUGGGUCAAAAAAUGGAAACAUCCUGAAGUUCCCAUAUUCUGGACAUCAAUUGAGGUGAUACUAAUCCUGUGUUUUCUGCUCCUGUACCUCGUGUUUCGAAUUAUACCGCACUUCGUGGAGUACGUCGACUACAUGACCACUAAAUUCGUCAUGAGCAUCGGUCUUCUCUUCUUCUACUACCGCACCAUGGCCGUUUUCUUACCCAUCAGUCCAACACUCGGACCCAUGCUCAUUCGAAUCACAAAAAUGGUUCGUAAAGAUUUUUCCACAUGGAUGCGAAUGUUCGUCAUCGUGAUGGUGUCUGGAGGGAUAACAAUCCAUGCUGUCUUGUAUCCAAGCUACCCGUUAAAUGUGGAUGGUGUCAAGAAAGCACUGGCCAGAGCAUUUUUUGCCAUGUUCCUCACCAAGAUAGAUGAUUUAGAUGGGGAUGAUACCUGCUCUUACCUGUAUGAAAAUACAACUAUAGGAUCAUGCCACCCUGAGCAAAGUGUUUCUUACCGAUACGGCAACACCAUGUCCACUUGUCCAUAUGGGAGUUUCGGUGGUUACUUCAUUGUGAUCCAGUACCUGUUGAUUACCAAGCUGGUUCUUAUCACACUGCUUUAUGCCAUGUUCAGUGUGACUAAUGCUAGGAUAUCUGACCAUGCUCUGGAGUACUGGAAAUACCAGCGCUAUGGUCUGAUUGUGGAUUUUGAGGAGAGACUGCGACUCCCGCCCCCACUCACUAUAAUCAGCUACAUAUGUAUGCUGCUGAAGUUCAUCUGGACUAAGGUCAUCAGGCCAUGCUGGACUCGGUGCAGACAGUGCUGCAGAUGUUUCACCAGUCAAGACUCUGUGGAUGCAUCGAGGCAUAUCAAUAUUUUCAAAAGCUGCAGGACGAUGGACUAUAACUACUGGAAGAACUGUGUAAAGGUUUACAUCAAUAAAGAGAAACAGGACCAGCUGAAGGAAACCGAAGACCAGAGGCAGAGUGAAACUCUCUGUGUCCUGGUGGAUGACAUGCAGUCACAGAAGGAAACCAAUCGUCGCCUGAAUGACCGGCUGGGACAGAUAGAGAAAAGUUUGACAUCUUGUCGUUUGUUGCUGGAGGAGAUGAAACACAUGAUGGAAGCAAAAGAUAUGGGGACAAAAGGCUUGAUUCCUCCAAAGAAACUGAUUCAUAUAUCUUCCAGGCAAUCUCCGUACCCUGGCACCAGGAUUCAGCGCUUUCCCAUCUUUGACAAAUAUGUACCAUGGGAGGUUACAUAUGAUACAUACGAUCCUGCCUGGUAUACUCGACCUGUUGAAGAGUUCCCACCAGAGAUCAUCGGAUAUGUUGAUAUAGACAUUAUGCAAUUACGGCAGCAAGAAGAAGAAAGGAAAAAGCUGGGCGCUGAUGAACUUGAAGAUCUGCCUCCGUUGCCAGUGUUUGAACCCAUGUGGAACUCUGUGUUUUCUUCCUACAUCAAGGACACUGAUGUGCAGAUAGAGGUUGAUCGGACCUCAUGGAUAACGUUUGACAACCAGCCACUCCGUUACCGGCUUGAUAAGUCAGGGUUACCACAAAAUCCGUUUGGUCGUACAGGGUUGAGAGGCCGUGGUAAACUGUGGAGAUGGGGUCCCAACCACCACAUGGCUGUCAUCAUCUCUCGCUGGAAACGCAAGUACUCGGCUCUCGGAAAACCUCUUGAUCACAUUAUUGUUGAUGGGAAGAAAGUCCUUGAAUUUAUGGUCGUUCAGAGACAGGAUACGGGAGAUUUUUCAUUACCAGGGGGUAAUGUGUAUGGCGACUGUACAGGAAUAGUAGAUGUUAACUGUAUUGUAAUUGUCUUCAGGGUAAUGUGUAUGACGACUGUACAGGAAUAGUAGAUGUUAACUGUAUUGUAAUUGUUUUCAGGGUAAUGUGUAUGGCGACUGUACAGGAAUAGUAGAUGUUAACUGUAUUGUAAUUGUCUUCAGGGUAAUGUGUAUGGCGACUGUACAGGAAUAGUAGAUGUUAACUGUAUUGUAAUUGUCUUCAGGGUAAUGUGUAUGGCGACUGUACAGGAUACUGUGUUAUACUGAAGAGUUUCAAGAAAGACCUACUCAAAGAAGAAGUCAUAGAACACAGCACCAAAGCAGAUGAACAGGAAAUGAUCACGUUUUUUGGACAUUUUGCCACUGGGCAUU
This 5110-nucleotide unclassified non-coding RNA is filed under the name Gigantopelta aegis. RNAcentral's name for it is "transient receptor potential cation channel subfamily M member-like 2, transcript variant X5". Lineage: Eukaryota; Metazoa; Mollusca; Gastropoda; Neomphalida; Peltospiridae. The record is from RNAcentral.